This 483-nucleotide ribosomal RNA is filed under the name uncultured bacterium. RNAcentral's name for it is "partial 16S ribosomal RNA". It matches the Rfam family "Bacterial small subunit ribosomal RNA", at positions 30 to 507 of the family's 1533-position model. The record is from RNAcentral.
UUGAACGCUGGCGGCAGGCCUAACACGUGCAAGUCGAGCGGAUGAAGGGAGCUUGCUCCUGGAUUCAGCGGCGGACGGGUGAGUAAUGCCUAGGAAUCUGCCUGGUAGUGGGGGAUAACGUCCGGAAACGGGCGCUAAUACCGCAUACGUCCUGAGGGAGAAAGUGGGGGAUCUUCGGACCUCACGCUAUCAGAUGAGCCUAGGUCGGAUUAGCUAGUUGGUGGGGUAAAGGCCUACCAAGGCGACGAUCCGUAACUGGUCUGAGAGGAUGAGCAGUCACACUGGAACUGAGACACGGUCCAGACUCCUACGGGAGGCAGCAGUGGGGAAUAUUGGACAAUGGGCGAAAGCCUGAUCCAGCCAUGCCGCGUGUGUGAAGAAGGUCUUCGGAUUGUAAAGCACUUUAAGUUGGGAGGAAGGGCAGUAAGUUAAUACCUUGCUGUUUUGACGUUACCAACAGAAUAAGCACCGGCUAACUUCGUG